GAUGAACGCUGGCGGCGUGCCUAAUACAUGCAAGUCGAGCGAACAGACGAGGAGCUUGCUGCUCUGACGUUAGCGGCGGACGGGUGAGUAACACGUGGAUAACCUACCUAUAAGACUGGGAUAACUUCGGGAAACCGGAGCUAAUACCGGAUAAUAUUUUGAACCGCAUGGUUCAAUAGUGAAAGACGGUUUUGCUGUCACUUAUAGAUGGAUCCGCGCUGCAUUAGCUAGUUGGUAGGGUAACGGCUUACCAAGGCAACGAUGCAUAGCCGACGUGAGGGGGGGUAGCCCCCCUGGGAACGUGAACCACGACCCUGCGCCUGAGGGAAGGCGCAGAUGGGAACGUUGCGCAACUGGGGGAAACCUUGCCGAAUCAACGCAGGGUGGAUGAAGAAGUCCUGCGAUCGGGAAAACGGUUUUAGGGGGGAAAACCAAUUUUGCAGGUAACGAUGCCCGCUUGACGGUAACUGAUCAAGAAGCCCCGGCUAACUACGUG
RNAcentral lists this ribosomal RNA (496 nucleotides) under uncultured bacterium. Its description in RNAcentral is "partial 16S ribosomal RNA". It matches the Rfam family "Bacterial small subunit ribosomal RNA", at positions 28 to 507 of the family's 1533-position model. The record is from RNAcentral.